ACGAAAACCUUUGUUCUUUCUCUCGUCAGUGUUCAACAUCAGUUCAAUUUACCGGUUUUAGCUGACAAUGUCGAAGACACCGGAUCCAAACAGUACAGAUGCUAGCGGCAGCAAGUCUACAAAAGAAGAGGCAACAAUUAAGGUUCCUUCUAAGGACCCAAAGAAGAAGGAUGAUAAGAAGGAUGAAGAUCUCUCGGAGGAGGAUUUGGCGUUGAAGCAGCAACUGGAACUGUAUGUGGAGAGGGCUCA
RNAcentral lists this unclassified non-coding RNA (249 nucleotides) under Hevea brasiliensis (rubber tree). Lineage: Eukaryota; Viridiplantae; Streptophyta; Magnoliopsida; Malpighiales; Euphorbiaceae. The record is from RNAcentral.